Molecule: ribosomal RNA, 496 nt
Filed under: uncultured bacterium
Lineage: Bacteria
Description: partial 16S ribosomal RNA
Rfam family: Bacterial small subunit ribosomal RNA
Source: RNAcentral
GAUGAACGCUGGCGGCGUGCCUAAUACAUGCAAGUCGAGCGAACAGACGAGGAGCUUGCUCCUCUGACGUUAGCGGCGGACGGGUGAGUAACACGUGGAUAACCUACCUAUAAGACUGGGAUAACUUCGGGAAACCGGAGCUAAUACCGGAUAAUAUAUUGAACCGCAUGGUUCAAUAGUGAAAGACGGUUUUGCUGUCACUUAUAGAUGGAUCCGCGCCGCAUUAGCUAGUUGGUAAGGUAACGGCUUACCAAGGCGACGAUGCGUAGCCGACCUGAGAGGGGGAUCGGCCAAACUGGAACGGAGAAACGGCCCAGACUCCGACGGGAGGCAGCAGUAGGGAAUCUUCCGAAAGGGGGGAAAGCCUGCCGGAGCAACGCCGGGGGGGUGAUGAAGGUCUUCGGAUCGUAAAACUCUGUUAUGAGGGAAAAACAAAUGUGUAAGUAACUAUGCACGUCUUGACGGUACCUAAUCAGAAAGCCACGGCAAACUACGU